This 983-nucleotide ribosomal RNA is filed under the name uncultured eukaryote. RNAcentral describes it as "SSU rRNA". It matches the Rfam family "Eukaryotic small subunit ribosomal RNA", at positions 664 to 1674 of the family's 1831-position model. The record is from RNAcentral.
CCUUUUUGGCGAGUACUGGACCCAACCGAGCCUUUCCUUCUGGCUAACCUUUCGCCCUUGUGGUGUUUGGCGAACCAGGACUUUUACUUUGAAAAAAUUAGAGUGUUCAAAGCAGGCCUUUGCUCGAAUAUAUUAGCAUGGGAUAAUAGAAUAGGACGUUAUGGUUCUAUUUUGUUGGUUUCUAGGACCAUCGUAAUGAUUAAUAGGGACGGUCGGGGGCAUCAGCAUUCAGUUGUCAGAGGUGAAAUUCUUGGAUUUACUGAAGACUAACUACUGCGAAAGCAUUUGCCAAGGACGUUUUCAUUAAUCAAGAACGAAAGUUAGGGGAUCGAAGAUGAUCAGAUACCGUCGUAGUCUUAACCAUAAACUAUGCCGACUAGGGAUCGGGUGUUGUUCUUUUUUUGACGCACUCGGCACCUUACGAGAAAUCAAAGUCUUCGGGUUCUGGGGGGAGUAUGGUCGCAAGGCUGAAACUUAAAGGAAUUGACGGAAGGGCACCACCAGGAGUGGAGCCUGCGGCUUAAUUUGACUCAACACGGGGAAACUCACCAGGUCCAGACACAAUAAGGAUUGACAGAUUGAGAGCUCUUUCUUGAUUUUGUGGGUGGUGGUGCAUGGCCGUUCUUAGUUGGUGGAGUGAUUUGUCUGCUUAAUUGCGAUAACGAACGAGACCUUAACCUACUAAAUAGUGCUGCUAGCUUUUGCUGGUAUAGUCACUUCUUAGAGGGACUAUCGAUUUCAAGUCGAUGGAAGUUUGAGGCAAUAACAGGUCUGUGAUGCCCUUAGACGUUCUGGGCCGCACGCGCGCUACACUGACGGAGCCAACGAGUAUUAACCUUGGCCGAGAGGUCUGGGAAAUCUUGUGAAACUCCGUCGUGCUGGGGAUAGAGCAUUGUAAUUAUUGCUCUUCAACGAGGAAUUCCUAGUAAGCGCAAGUCAUCAGCUUGCGUCGAUUACGUCCCUGCCCCUUGUACACACCGCCC